Molecule: long non-coding RNA, 745 nt
Organism: Prunus dulcis (almond)
Lineage: Eukaryota; Viridiplantae; Streptophyta; Magnoliopsida; Rosales; Rosaceae
Exons: 3
Source: RefSeq, a predicted model, not a curated record
CUCGGCCGACUCGGUAAUCCCCCAACCUCAUCUCCUCGUUCUCCUCCACCGUCUUCUCCGGCCAAUGCCGACUCUGGUCACAGCUUCUAGAAUCUCUACGUGGGUCUUUUCAACAAAAAUUUACACCGACAAACUCAUUUUCGUUACUAAAUUAGGGUUAUGGUUGGUCCGCGUUUUGUUGAAAGAGAAUUGCCUUGCCAGUCGCAGAAAAGAAGCCAUUGACAAGGAUGCUAUUUACAGGUCUGGAUAAUUAAGCCCCUGCUUGACCCUCUCUCCCCUCCUAUCUCUUCAUGAAUCCAAUGUGGAGCAUAAUGGACGGCGUAAGGUGCACAGUGCAUGAUGCUCGGAGGUAUCAUCCCUAGGAUUACAUGGUAUAUUCCGCCUCAGCUGGCUUUGGAAUUUCUGAGGGACCAUUUCAAAUUUUCAGUGAAGGAUUAAGCAAUGAUAACAUGCAAGAAGUUGCUACCAUCCAUGCCAGUAGAAGUCUUUACAAAGGAGAGCAAGAGGAACUUACUGAAAAUUUUCCCGUCAUGUCCAGUUUGUUGGACAGAUUGGGGCAUUUUUCAUGUAUCAAGUAAUAAUUGGUAGGAGGGUUUCAAAGUCUGCCAACUUUUAGCGGCGGUUUUUAUCUUCGCCAGUAAAAGUUGUAUUUCCUACGGUUAGCGACGGUUUUUUCUGUUUCUAAAGGCAUUUUGCAAAAUUGGGAAAUAAUUUUCGUCACUAAAUGUGACAAAACCGGUGCCAA